Molecule: long non-coding RNA, 1308 nt
Organism: Gallus gallus (chicken)
Lineage: Eukaryota; Metazoa; Chordata; Aves; Galliformes; Phasianidae
Source: Ensembl
AUCCACAUUAUUAACAUAUUCACCAAAACAUACAGAAAGUAUAAGAAUCUUUGUAGAAUGUAACAUUUUUUUGUCCACUAUGUCUAUCCACUGGGAAGAACAUUUAUCAAAAAUUUGUACCUCAUUAUUUAUUAGGUAGAGAGGGAAUUUCAUGCUUAUCAAUACAAAAAUUGUCUAUUAAAGUAACUUCGGAGACAGAUCUUAGUACAGUGUUUAUUAAAUAUAGAAUUGGCAUAAAUAUAAUAUAUAAUAUUCUAGUACAAUAGAUGUAGGAAACAUAGAAAUCUGUUGAUCAGUACUUUAUAACAGUUACUAUAUCAUAAUAUUUACUAAAAUGUAUAGAUAGAUGCACUACUCUUCUAGAUUAAUGUGUUUAGAUUAAUGAGUCUAGUGUUGAUCAUUUGAGAUAUUACUUGGGACUUCUGGUCUUCAAAGUUACCCUAACUUGCAAAAUGAAACACUGUUCUCAGUAGUUAAAAACAUCACAAGAAAAGCAGAAACGAGAGGUAAAUAAUAUCAUAAAUGUAAUCUUAUUCAGAUUCUACUGAAAUGAUACACAUGUUGAAGAAUAACAAUCACAACUUCCAUGGCCAUUACAAUCAAUUUUACCUGUUGUGUAAAUAUCUUGGGAUUUUCAAAAACUUUUGAAAAUGAUAUAGACCUAUCUGAAUGUCAGCUUUAGCAUUAGUUAUUUGGAAAGAAAAUGAAAGUCAUUAUUUUUUAAUUGAGUUUGAAUAAACACUUUUCAUAGAGAAUUAGCAUACGACACAACAGACAAAAUCGAUUAAGGGUUGCCAUCUGGCAGAAGUCUAGAAAAGUUGCUGCCAUAUGUUUUGACCAAGACUGCAAAAUAAACUGUUUUAUACUGUCACCACCUCCAGUUCUGUUUUAUAAAUUACAUUCCAUUUUAUUAUAUAUAUGAGAAAGAUUAGGAAAGAUUUCAUCUAUGACUGGCCGCUUAAUUGGGAAACAGACGCCAUAUAAAAUUUUAAAACAGACACAGGGUGAAUGGGGCUCAGUUUGAAAGCUAUUUGACAGCUGUAAGUAAAAAAGUGCAAGAACUGCUAUAAAUUUCUUAUUAGGCAGACCUUUAAUUUUUAAUCAGUAGUAUUUAAAAUGUUCUUAAAUAUUCAACAAUUGUAGUUUAUCGUUGGUAAUAAUUACAGAAGAAAACAACACAAAAUUCCUGGGCUAAGUAAGAAUGUUCAUUAAAUCCAUGGGUAAUAUUAAAGAGAAAGGAAAGGAAAGGAAAGGAAAGGAAAGGAAAGGGAAGGGAAGGGAAAGGAAGGGAAGGGAAGGGAAGGGAAG